Molecule: long non-coding RNA, 288 nt
Organism: Haliotis rubra (blacklip abalone)
Lineage: Eukaryota; Metazoa; Mollusca; Gastropoda; Lepetellida; Haliotidae
Exons: 2
Source: RefSeq, a predicted model, not a curated record
UAAUCAUUAUGUUAUCAUUGACAUGCUGUUCCAUUUGUAGAUUAAACGACAUUUGUUUUCAUACAUUUUCAGCCUCAUAGAUACAUCAGUUCUCAGUGAUAACACACGAUCACUUUUAUUAUAUUUACUUUCGUUUUGAACAAACAACAACGAAAAAUAGAAACUUAGAGUUAAUAUAUUAAUAUUGAACCAAAUCAUUAAUGUAAUGUCUUCUGUUUGCAGCAAACUUUCAAUGCAGCCGACAAUAUUUCAUUUACGACUGAAUAAAAAGGUUAUAAUUCUCUCUAA